AACGAACGCUGGCGGCAUGCCUAACACAUGCAAGUCGAACGAUGCCUUCGGGCAUAGUGGCGCACGGGUGCGUAACGCGUGGGAAUCUGCCUUUCGGUUCGGAAUAACUCAGGGAAACUUGAGCUAAUACCGGGUAACGUCGCAAGACCAAAGAUUUAUCACCGAAAGAUGAGCCCGCGUAGGAUUAGCUAGUUGGUGAGGUAAAGGCUCACCAAGGCGACGAUCCUUAGCUGGUCUGAGAGGAUGAUCAGCCACACUGGGACUGAGACACGGCCCAGACUCCUACGGGAGGCAGCAGUGGGGAAUAUUGGACAAUGGGCGAAAGCCUGAUCCAGCAAUGCCGCGUGAGUGAUGAAGGCCUUAGGGUUGUAAAGCUCUUUUACCCGGGAAGAUAAUGACGGUACCGGGAGAAUAAGCCCCGGCUAACUCCGUG
This 433-nucleotide ribosomal RNA is filed under the name uncultured bacterium. RNAcentral describes it as "partial 16S ribosomal RNA". It matches the Rfam family "Bacterial small subunit ribosomal RNA", at positions 29 to 507 of the family's 1533-position model. The record is from RNAcentral.